GCGGAAGUCUGUAGAGUGGGCGUGGUUAAAGGUCUGACGAGCGAACAAACUGGUACUCCGAGUGAGAAUAGGCAAAUUGGACUGAAAGUCUGAAGUACUGAUGGCCUAUUCCCGGAAGGAGCUGUAAGUCUGCACCGUGUGAAAUCCUGUGGUGCAAACCUGGAUAUAGAAGACAGAAGUUAGGGUCUAGCGGGACCUGAAAACUAACCUCAUCAGAUUCUGCGCGAGGCAUCCUGAGAGAGUCAGCAGACAGCCGCUUAGCGGGAGAAUCGCAUUUGCUGGCCCUGGAACCUCCCAGGUCAGAGGAGCUGGGGGACUGGAAAACAAGGGUCAUGAUUGAAGGCGAUACUUGUCGGACCCGUAGAAUGACAGAGAAAAACUGAGUCGAGUCUACAUAAGCUGGAAAGAGUGAGUCAGAUGGCCACCUAAAGGCUGGCGGGUUACCUUGUCCUGAUUCUCUCUUGAUCCCCGAAAACUCUCCUCAGACACAGUUUCCUGGCUGCCGGCCUGUGAGACUCAGCAGCACAGCAUAGGGAACUUGAGCCUGGGGGCCCUGGAUCCUACAAAGCUGCUUCGCCAGGGGAAAGGACCAGGGUGCAAUCAGUUUUCUCUGCUGUUUAUGAAGAAGCAGACAUUGAAACUCUGCUGUGGAUGUCUUACUGAUGAAUUUUAGAUGACUUAAACUAGACUAGUCCCAAUUAUAUUUUUUUUUCAUCAAUCUUGUGGGUGCCAAAAUGUUCUUCUUAAAAUGCUAGGAAGAUUGUGACCUCUAAGGGGAUAGGAACUCCACAAGAAGACCAACAAAAUCAUCUAACUUGGAAGCUUGGUGCUCUCAGAGACUGAACCACCAACCAAAGAACUUAGACUGUCUGGAUCUAAGUCUCCCUGGUCAUAUGUGCACAUAUGAAGCUUUGUCUUAAUCUGGGUCCCGACCAACUGGAGCAGGGCCUAUGUCAAAAGCUGUUGCCUACAUGUGGAAUAUGUUCAGUGCUGGGGGACCGGGGGAUACCCAGAGGGGCCCCACUCACUCAGAGUAGAAAGGGGGGAAUGGGAAAAGGAUUGUGGGAGUGGGUGGGUGACCCAGAGGAGGGCAGUUAGUAAUGUGUAAAGUGAGUAAGGAAAAAAACUAUUAUAUUUGUUAAGGUGAAAAGGACAAAACUGUUGAAAUUUACAUUUUUUUCACAUUAACUCCCCUGUAAUACCCGGGGACUUACUUGGUAAUUGAGCAUCCCAGGAGAGCUUUUAGAUAGUAGUCAUGAAAGGAGUGGCUGCAAAUGUAAGGGAGUCCAAAAGUGUGCACUAGCACAACUGUCCACACUCUUUUAUUUUGUGGUCAUUUGACAGUGUGAACUUGUUCCAGAAGAAGGGGCAAUGCCUGGACCCUGCUCAGAAGGUUUUGUACAGAGACUGCAUGUCACAGAAUUAAAGCGGUCAGAUUUCAGUGAGUGAGGAUACUUUGUUUGCUAUCUCCCUCUGUCCACCUCAGGGUCCUGGGAAAACAACUGUUAUCUAUGUUCCUGUGUAACUGCGUCUUGUAUCUCACAGAAUGAAGUGAAAUCCUCGGAGGAAUGACAAAAAUUUUCAUAAAAUAUUCAAACGUCUUGUGAAUCUCUUUGAGAGGUAUAAGGCUUCUAGUAUGUUUGAUCCAUGAUAAAUUCAGAACCUCACUACUGUAUAGUGCUGUCAUCCCAAUCAUUCAGUUUGGUUUGUCCCCGUCAGUUUUUUACUAACCUGUGAUUGGGUAUGGGCUUCCAGUUAAGGCUAAAUGAAAAUGAAUUCAAAGUAUCUUCAGUAUUGGAGGAUCACUUUUGAAUCCUCUCUAUCUCCUGAGCACUACUGUGUUAGCCAUCCAGAUGCUUUCUGAUGAAUCUCAUGCACAUGUGCAGGGCUCACUGAUCACCCAGACCUGCUCACCUGUGGAGCAAAACAGAAACCUGGAAGGUGGAGAGGGAGGAGACAGUAGCUAAGGAUCCAG
RNAcentral lists this long non-coding RNA (1975 nucleotides) under Rattus norvegicus (Norway rat). Its description in RNAcentral is "long non-coding RNA NONRATT000275". Lineage: Eukaryota; Metazoa; Chordata; Mammalia; Rodentia; Muridae. The record is from RNAcentral.